GUCUUUUUGAAAUAAUUUAAAGUCUAAUCUGCCCACUGAUAAAAAAUUAAAGGGCUGCAGUAUAAUGACUGUACAAAGGUAGCAUAAUCAAUAGUUUUUUAAUUGAAAACUUGUAUGAAAGAUUUGAUGAAAUAUAAACUGUCUCUAAUUUAUAAAUUGAAUUUUAUUUUUUAGUAAAAAAGCUAAAAUAAAUUUAAAAGACGAGAAGACCCUAUAGAGUUUUAUAUUUAAUUUUAUUAGAAGCUUAUAUAAAAAUUAAUAUCAAAAAUAAAAUUAAAUGUUAUAUUGGGGUGAUAGAAAAAUUAAAUUAACUUUUUUUAAAAAUUAAACAUAAAUAAAUGAUUAUAUGAUCCAUAAAUAAUGAUUACAAGAAAAAAUUACCUUAGGGAUAACAGCGUAAUAUUUUUUUUUAGUUCAAAUAAAAAAAAAAGUUUGCGACCUCGAUGUUGGAUUAAGAUAAAAUUUAAAUGCAAAAGUUUAAAAGUUUUGAUCUGUUCGAUCAUUAAAAUCUUACA
This 515-nucleotide ribosomal RNA is filed under the name Melanargia teneates. RNAcentral's name for it is "partial 16S ribosomal RNA". The stretch from base 388 to 515 matches the Rfam family "Archaeal large subunit ribosomal RNA", at positions 2542 to 2669 of the family's 2987-position model. The record is from RNAcentral. Lineage: Eukaryota; Metazoa; Arthropoda; Insecta; Lepidoptera; Nymphalidae.